GCUACGGCAGUACUGACAGAGGAGCCCGCGGCGCAUUAGCUAGUUGGUGGGGUAACGGCUCACCAAGGCGACGAUGCGUAGCCGACCUGAGAGGGUGACCGGCCACACUGGGACUGAGACACGGCCCAGACUCCUACGGGAGGCAGCAGUAGGGAAUCUUCCGCAAUGGGCGCAAGCCUGACGGAGCAACGCCGCGUGAGCGAAGAAGGCCUUCGGGUUGUAAAGCUCAGUCAUUCGGGAAGAGCGGACGGGAGAGGGAAUGCUCCUGUCGAGACGGUACCGGAAGAGGAAGCCCCGGCUAACUACGUG
RNAcentral lists this ribosomal RNA (309 nucleotides) under uncultured bacterium. Its description in RNAcentral is "bacterial SSU rRNA". It matches the Rfam family "Bacterial small subunit ribosomal RNA", at positions 202 to 507 of the family's 1533-position model. The record is from RNAcentral.